RNAcentral lists this ribosomal RNA (1491 nucleotides) under uncultured Bordetella sp. RNAcentral's name for it is "partial 16S-23S ribosomal RNA intergenic spacer". It matches the Rfam family "Bacterial small subunit ribosomal RNA". The record is from RNAcentral. Lineage: Bacteria; Pseudomonadati; Pseudomonadota; Betaproteobacteria; Burkholderiales; Alcaligenaceae.
GGUUUGAUCCUGCUCAGAUUGAACGCUGGCGGGAUGCUUUACACAUGCAAGUCGAACGGCAGCACGGACUUCGGUCUGGUGGCGAGUGGCGAACGGGUGAGUAAUGUAUCGGAACGUGCCUAGUAGCGGGGACAACUGACGCGAGCAGCCAUUACCGUAUACGCCCUUCGGGGGAAAGCGGGGGACCUUCGGCCUCGUACUAUUAGAGUGGCUGAUAUCGGAUUAGGGGCUAGUUGGGUGGGUAACGGCUCACCAAGGCGACGAUCCGUAGCUGGUUUGAGAGGACGACCAGCCAUACUGAUCGAGACACGGCCCAGACUCCUACGAGGCAGCAGGGGAAUUCCUUGAUAAUGGGGAAACUCGAUCCAGCCAUCCUUGGCGUGUGCGAUGAAGGCCUUCGGGUUGUAAAGCACUUUUGGCAGGAAAGAAACGGCACGGGAUAAUACCCCGUGCAACCGACGGUACCCAGAACAAGCACCGGCUAACUACGCCAGCAGCCGCAAUACGUAGGGUGCAAGCGUUAACCGGAAUUACUGGGCGUAAAGCGUGCGCAGGCGGGUUCUGAAAGAAAGAUGUGAAACUGAGCCUAACUUUGGAAACUGGGCAUUUUUAACUACCGAGCUAGAGUGUGUCAGAGGAGGUGGAAUUCCGCGUGUAGCAGCGAAAUGCGUAGAUAUGCGGAGGAAGCACUGAUGGCGAAGGCAGCCUCCUGGGAUAACACUGACGCUCAUGCACGAAAGCGUGGGGAGCAAACAGACGAUACCCGGUGAGCCCACGCCUCAAACGAUGUCAACUAUUGUUAGCCUUUCGGGCCUGGUAGCGCGGCUAACGCGUGAAGUUGACCGCCUGGGGAGGAUGGUCGCAAGAUUAAAACUCAAAGGAAUUGACGGGGACCCCACAAGCGGUGGAUGAUGAUUGAACUUGAUGCAACGCGAAAACCUUACCUACCCUUGACAUGUCUGGAAUCCCGAAGAGAUUUGGGAGUGCUCGCAAGAGAACCGGAACAGUGGUGUUAGAUGGCUGCCGCCGCCUGUGUCGUGAGAUGCUUGAAGCUGUCCCAACGCGCAACCCUUGUCAUUAGUUACGGAAAGGGCACCUGUAGACGACUGCCGGUGACAAACUGAGAAGGUGGGACACGUCAAGUCCUCAUGCGGCCCUGCGGUGUAGGGCUUCACACGUCAUACAAUGGUCGGGACAGAGGUCGCCAACCCGCGAGGGGAGCCAAUCCAGAAACCCGAUCGUAGUCCGGAUCGCAGGCCCGUAACUCGACUGCGUGAAGUCGGAAUCGCUAGUAAUCGCGGAUCAGCAUGUCGCGGUGAAUAUGUUCCCGGGUCUUGUACACACCGCCCGUCACACCAUGGGAGGCUUACUUCCAGAUGAAGUUAGCCUAAACCGGUGAGGGCGAUUACCACGGUAGGAUUCAGCGACCUGGGUAAUGCGGUACUGGCGAAGCCGCUCAGGAGCACAUGUAACUGAACGGCGCAUAAUGCU